Non-coding RNA from Branchiostoma floridae (Florida lancelet), 123 nucleotides. The record is from Rfam. NCBI's taxonomy places the organism in Eukaryota, Metazoa, Chordata, Leptocardii, Amphioxiformes, Branchiostomatidae.
AGCUACGGCCGCGUGGCGCGUUGGUACACCCGAUCCCUCGAUCUCGGAAGUUAAACAACGCGCGGUCCGGACAGUACUUGGAUGGGAGUCCCCCAACCAAGGACGUCCGGAUUGCUGUAGCCU